RNAcentral lists this ribosomal RNA (393 nucleotides) under uncultured bacterium. Its description in RNAcentral is "bacterial SSU rRNA". It matches the Rfam family "Bacterial small subunit ribosomal RNA", at positions 77 to 488 of the family's 1533-position model. The record is from RNAcentral.
ACUACAGAAAAUGACUGAGCGGCGAACGGGUGAGUAACGCGUGAGCAACCUACCUUAGUUACUGGGAUAGCCCGAGGAAACUCGGAUUAAUACCGGAUAUUCUUAUUUAAUCACAUGAUUUUUUAAGGAAAGGUCAGCCGAACUAAGAUGGGCUCGCGUUCUAUCAGCUAGUUGGUAGGGUAAUGGCCUACCAAGGCUACGACGGAUAGCUGGUCUGAGAGGACGAUCAGCCACACUGGGACUGAGACACGGCCCAGACUCCUACGGGAGGCUGCAGCAGGGAAUAUUGCGCAAUGAGCGAAAGCUUGACGCAGCGACACCGCGUGUGGGAUGACGGAUCUAGGUUUGUAAACCACUUUCAGGAGGGAAGAAAAUGACGGUACCUCCACAAGA